Molecule: ribosomal RNA, 320 nt
Filed under: uncultured eukaryote
Lineage: Eukaryota
Description: partial 18S ribosomal RNA
Rfam family: Eukaryotic small subunit ribosomal RNA
Source: RNAcentral
CCCCUACAUGUUCUGGGCCGCACGCGCGCUACACUGAACAGUUCAACAAGUCUUAACCUUGGCCGAUAGGUCUGGGUAAUCUUUGAACGCUGUUCGUGAUUGGGAUAGACCUUUGCAAUUAUGGGUCUUCAACGAGGAAUUCCUAGUAAACGCAAGUCAUCAGCUUGCAUUGAUUACGUCCCUGCCCUUUGUACACACCGCCCGUCGCACCUACCGAUUGAAUGGUCCGGUGAAAUCUCGGGACGGCGGCUUGGUCGCUUGCGUCCGACUGCUGAAACUUGAUUAAACCAUAUCAUUUAGAGGAAGGUGAAGUCGUAACA